UGAACCUCGUUCGCCAAAGCUUAUCCUGCGCCUCCAGCGAAAAUUAGCGCGGGCGCUAUCCAGUUAUUUUAGACCUCGAAGCCAAAUGGUGGCGAGGGGCUUCUCUUCCCAUUUUCCUCCCUACUUUUCUCUUCUCCUCUUUCCGAAAUCUCAGACGAUAAUAGGGUUUUUCUUUCGAAGAAAUUAGGCUUUACGGAUUCGAUCAUCGGAACCUUGAAUCGCCUCUGAACGACGAGAUUAAGAUUUCUGGAGUCCCUAGCUCUAUAAUCUCCGGGAAUGUGGGAACAUGGAGGUCGGUUCUACUCGGGGAGGAGGGAAGGGUUGGGAGGCAGGACGUGGAAGGAAUAGUGGUGGUGUUCGCGUGGCUCUCGAGCGAGGCGAGGGAUCUGAAGCCGUAUAUAGAUAUCUACUGGUCCCUCGGGUGGAGCUGCCUCGUCUGCCAUGCAGAUUUCCUCACCCUGAACUGGAGUAUAGGCCAUUGCCUAUUGUACUCGCAACUUUUUCUGGAGGUUCAAAAGGUUGCAUGUACAUGGUUCUUCAGUUGCUUGAGGGAGAAUGCGGUGGACAAGUUAGUCUGGAUGAUAUCAGCUUGUAAGAGGCUGCAUCUGCGGACAGAUAUAUUCAGAAGAUGAUGACCUUGCUCCCUACCAAAUCAUCUCUAGUUUUGCUCAGCAUAUGCAAGAGCUUGGUGGCAAUGUCAAGCUAAUGAAAUGGAACAACUCCUAUCAUAAUAUACCUUGGAAGAGGAGUUAACAGAGAAUAGUUGGUAUGAGUGCUGCACAUGCUUGAGAAUGAACAAUCCAUGUGAAGCUUUAUCUGUGUUUUAUUCCUAGCCGUGUAUACGGUGUAGGGACAAGUUCUAUAGAGCAUAUGCUGGCUGGUUGCUAGCAUAGUAUGGAAUCUAUGGAUUAUAUUGCCAUAUUGUCCUGACACUUGGCACAUGCUGACAUGAAAAUGAUGCACAAGACCACUAAAAUUGCAUUACUCGUAUCACCAAACUGAGUACAAGGAUGCUGUGUCUGAGAUGCUCGUUGGAGCAACUAUAACCUAUUCUCAGAGAAGGCAACUAAAUGGUGAAACACUGGGCACGGGAGGUGCAUGCAACAAGAUAUCAGAGUUUGCAGUCUUCAUGAAGCAACAGUGUGCUCAAGUGAGAGUGUUAGAAGGGUAGCUAUUGGUCCAAGUGACCAUUUCUUCUUGCCCAGCUCAAUGGAGUCUAGUGAAACUAAAGAUGCUGCGUCUUUGCUCAAGGAGCAGAUGGUGGAGUUGUUCCAUCUACCUAGUAUCAGUCCCAAAUCCAAUGGGAUUCUGGGCCAAGUCCUUGAAGAACAUCGAAAGGUUGGAGUAUUUAGACAGUGUUCUCCUUGAAUGGAAGGCAGAUGCAUGCUUCUUCUCAUAGGCAUGACCCUUUCAAUCCUCUCAAAUGCAUACGCCGCCCUAGAUUGUAAGGUGGAAACUCUGAUGAAUUUCAAUGUGAAUUUUGACUGCUACCAUUGUUCGGCCUUAGAUCCCUGGAUUUGCAGGAAGAGAAUGACAACUGUGCAGGAGCGAUGAGGCAUGUAAAUAUUCUGUUUAACCUUGUAGCUUUUUUCCCCCCUUGGCACAUAUUUUACGGUAGGCAUGAAUUGUUGAUAGUUAAUAACAGUGGGUAAUUAAUUUUAUAAAUGGGGCUACGUGGGAAGAGUUUGAAACUUCAUGCAUGACAGUUCUGGGCCUUAAAGAAAAGAUUUUUUGGUCGUUAGAACUUCAAGCCGCCAUGUGUAAGGGUUGUCCCGAAUGCCAAGCUUCCUGGGACCAACUUCUAGAAGUCUCAAGGAUCACAGAAUUUUCUCAUCUUUAUCUUGUAACCAUGAUUUUUAAGUCUUUGACCAAGAGAAUGCGUCAGCUCUUGGGCCAUAAUCUUGUAAUUAUUUCUCUCUAAAGGUAACAGUUGCCUGUUCUAUUGGCACCAACUUUCAUUGAUUCCUGAAAAAAAAAAAGUCUUCGCACUUGUAAUAA
Phoenix dactylifera (date palm) is the source of this 1998-nucleotide non-coding RNA. Lineage: Eukaryota; Viridiplantae; Streptophyta; Magnoliopsida; Arecales; Arecaceae. The record is from RefSeq and is a predicted model, not a curated record.